GUAAGGAAUAUUGGACAAUGGACGCAAGUCUGAUCCAGCCAUGCCGCGUGAAGGAUUAAGGUCCUCUGGAUUGUAAACUUCUUUUAUAAGGGACGAAAAAAGGCUUUUCUAAGUCGUCUGACGGUACCUUAUGAAUAAGCACCGGCUAACUCCGUGCCAGCAGCCGCGGUAAUACGGAGGGUGCAAGCGUUAUCCGGAUUCACUGGGUUUAAAGGGUGCGUAGGCGGGCAGGUAAGUCAGUGGUGAAAUCCUAGAGCUUAACUCUAGAACUGCCAUUGAUACUAUCUGUCUUGAAUAUUGUGGAGGUAAGCGGAAUAUGUCAUGUAGCAGUGAAAUGCUUAGAUAUGACAUAGAACACCUAUUGCGAAGGCAGCUUACUACGCAUAUAUUGACGCUGAGGCACGAAAGCGUGGGGAUCAAACAGGAUUAGAAACCCCGGUAGUCC
RNAcentral lists this ribosomal RNA (445 nucleotides) under uncultured bacterium. RNAcentral's name for it is "partial 16S ribosomal RNA". It matches the Rfam family "Bacterial small subunit ribosomal RNA", at positions 354 to 796 of the family's 1533-position model. The record is from RNAcentral.